Molecule: microRNA precursor, 112 nt
Filed under: Phlebotomus papatasi
Lineage: Eukaryota; Metazoa; Arthropoda; Insecta; Diptera; Psychodidae
Description: microRNA MIR158
Source: RNAcentral
UCGUGUCUUCUUCAGUGGUUCUUGGUUAGUCUUUCUUUGGAUAUUUUGGAGACCAAAACUUGACAAAAUAUCCAAAGAAAGACUAACCAAGAACCACUGAAGAAGAUACGAU